This 460-nucleotide ribosomal RNA is filed under the name uncultured bacterium. RNAcentral's name for it is "partial 16S ribosomal RNA". It matches the Rfam family "Bacterial small subunit ribosomal RNA", at positions 338 to 795 of the family's 1533-position model. The record is from RNAcentral.
CCUACGGGUGGCAGCAGUGAGGAAUAUUGGUCAAUGGACGAGAGUCUGAACCAGCCAAGUAGCGUGAAGGAUGACUGCCCUAUGGGUUGUAAACUUCUUUUAUAUGGGAAUAAAACGUUCCACGUGUGGGAUUUUGUAUGUACCAUAUGAAUAAGGAUCGGCUAACUCCGUGCCAGCAGCCGCGGUAAUACGGAGGAUCCGAGCGUUAUCCGGAUUUAUUGGGUUUAAAGGGAGCGUAGGUGGAUUGUUAAGUCAGUUGUGAAAGUUUGCGGCUCAACCGUAAAAUUGCAGUUGAAACUGGCAGUCUUGAGUAAAGUAGAGGUGGGCGGAAUUCGUGGUGUAGCGGUGAAAUGCUUAGAUAUCACGAAGAACUCCGAUUGCGAAGGCAGUUCACUGGACUGCAACUGACACUGAGGCUCGAAAGUGUGGGUAUCAAACAGGAUUAGAUACCCUUGUAGUC